UACGUAGGAGGCAAGCGUUGUCCGGAAUUACUGGGCGUAAAGCGCGUGUAGGUGGUGGGACAAGUCUGCUGUGAAAGCGCCUGGCUUAACCGGGCGAGGUCGGCGGAAACUGUUCGACUCGAGGACGGUAGAGGGGGGUGGAAUUCCCGGUGUAGUGGUGAAAUGCGUAGAGAUCGGGAGGAACACCUGUGGCGAAGGCGGCCCCCUGGGCCGGCCCUGACACUGAGACGCGAAAGCGUGGGGAGCAAACAGG
This 253-nucleotide ribosomal RNA is filed under the name uncultured bacterium. Its description in RNAcentral is "partial 16S ribosomal RNA". It matches the Rfam family "Bacterial small subunit ribosomal RNA", at positions 524 to 776 of the family's 1533-position model. The record is from RNAcentral.